RNAcentral lists this ribosomal RNA (462 nucleotides) under uncultured bacterium. Its description in RNAcentral is "partial 16S ribosomal RNA". It matches the Rfam family "Bacterial small subunit ribosomal RNA", at positions 28 to 507 of the family's 1533-position model. The record is from RNAcentral.
GACGAACGCUGGCGGCGUGCUUAACACAUGCAAGUCGAGCGGUAAGGCCUUUCGGGGUACCCGAGCGGCGAACGGGUGAGUAACACGUGGGUGAUCUGCCCUGCACUUCGGGAUAAGCCUGGGAAACUGGGUCUAAUACCGGAUAUGACCUCCUAUCGCAUGGUGGGUGGUGGAAAGAUUUAUCGGUGCAGGAUGGGCCCGCGGCCUAUCAGCUUGUUGGUGGGGUAAUGGCCUACCAAGGCGUCGACGGGUAGCCGACCUGAGAGGGUGACCGGCCACACUGGGACUGAGACACGGCCCAGACUCCUACGGGAGGCAGCAGUGGGGAAUAUUGCACAAUGGGCGAAAGCCUGAUGCAGCGACGCCGCGUGAGGGAUGACGGCCUUCGGGUUGUAAACCUCUUUCAGCAGGGACGAAGCGCAAGUGACGGUACCUGCAGAAGAAGCACCGGCUAACUACGUG